AUUGAACGCUGGCGGCAUGCCUUACACAUGCAAGUCGAACGGCAGCACGGGUGCUUGCACCUGGUGGCGAGUGGCGAACGGGUGAGUAAUACAUCGGAACAUGUCCUGUAGUGGGGGAUAGCCCGGCGAAAGCCGGAUUAAUACCGCAUACGAUCCACGGAUGAAAGCGGUGGACCUUCGGGCCUCGCGCUAUAGGGUUGGCCGAUGGCUGAUUAGCUAGUUGGUGGGGUAAAGGCCUACCAAGGCGACGAUCAGUAGCUGGUCUGAGAGGACGACCAGCCACACUGGGACUGAGACACGGCCCAGACUCCUACGGGAGGCAGCAGUGGGGAAUUUUGGACAAUGGGCGAAAGCCUGAUCCAGCAAUGCCGCGUGUGUGAAGAAGGCCUUCGGGUUGUAAAGCACUUUUGUCCGGAAAGAAAUCCUUGACUCUAAUACAGUCGGGGGAUGACGGUACCGGAAGAAUAAGCACCGGCUAACUACGUG
This 486-nucleotide ribosomal RNA is filed under the name uncultured bacterium. RNAcentral describes it as "partial 16S ribosomal RNA". It matches the Rfam family "Bacterial small subunit ribosomal RNA", at positions 30 to 507 of the family's 1533-position model. The record is from RNAcentral.